Molecule: long non-coding RNA, 509 nt
Filed under: Phoenix dactylifera (date palm)
Lineage: Eukaryota; Viridiplantae; Streptophyta; Magnoliopsida; Arecales; Arecaceae
Description: long non-coding RNA (PDAC_LNC021396)
Source: RNAcentral
GGUUUUCCUUCCCUCACAUUACUCCUGAUCCAGCUGGGCCAUCAGGAAGAAAGGGGGAUUGGAAAUGGACUUCUUGGAGGGUGGAGAUUCUUUUAAUUUUCUCCUCUCCGUUUCUUCUCCCCUCUUGGGUGGUAGAGAGAGAAGGAGGAGGGGGUUGAAUGGCUGCUGUGCUGUGAUGUUGCGGUUGCUGCUUGGGUACUCACUUGAAGGGGAGAUGGAGGGAUGGGGCUUUUAUUAAUUAGAUAGAGUCAAUUUCCCAUAAUGCCUCUACUUUCUCUUAUAGGGAAGCUCCUUUUUGGACAAAUUCUUUUCUUUACCUUGAUCAUGAAGUGCCAUGGAAUGACCUUUUCCUAUUCCACUCUUGUUUGACAUGAUAAACAAUAUUGCCAAGCAUUAUCUCAGUUAUUUAAUCAGUUUUAUGGCCCUUCUUUUAGGAUAAUUACUUUUCUGCAUUUCCAUUCAAAAAUAAUAUUAAAUUAAAAAGAUUUCUGGCCUAUCUUUGUUAGAUU